Molecule: long non-coding RNA, 1027 nt
Filed under: Cricetulus griseus (Chinese hamster)
Lineage: Eukaryota; Metazoa; Chordata; Mammalia; Rodentia; Cricetidae
Description: lncRNA (ENSCGRG00015040613.1)
Source: RNAcentral
CCUCUCUCUCUUUGGCUAGCUGGGCUCAUUACUCUGGGCUCAAGGACCGAGAAUCCUACAUGGAGCUAAAUGCAUGUCUUCUGAAGUCCAGCUACAGUAGCACAAAAAUGACCGUCAUCUGCCAGCUCCUCCGGCUUUCAUUCAGCAAACAGAAUCCAGUGGACACAACACUGAAUGAAUCUAGCGCUGGGUCUUCCCAGUCUGAAGCAUCUCUACCUGGACCAGUUAGCAGAGAUGAAAAGAAAUAGCUCCAAAGCAGCUCUACCUGGACCAGUUAACAGAGAUGAAAAGAAAAAGCAUCAUUGGUCCAUUUGAGUCCUGUGUGUUGAUUAUUUAUCUUGCCCCUCUUAUCCUGUUGAAGGGAACAGUGUUUUGCACAAGACAUUUCAAGGCCAAGUUCUCAGCACAAAGGAGAUUUACUUGCCCCAGAGGAACAGAGGGCAGGGAAAAAGAGACAGAGACAAGAGAUAGAGGACAAGGGAGAAGGGGAAAGGAACAGGGGAGAUGGAGAAGGGGUGUUUGUCCUGAAGGACAAAGGAUUGCCUCUGGAUAGAGAGGAGACAGAUGUGGCCCACAGGAAAACGGUGGUUUAUAAAGGUAAAUGAGGAAACCCUGUGUUAGGAUGAGGUGCCUAAUUUUGAUUAGACAGGUUAAUUAGGGUGACCACAAGGGGGCUUUUGAUUGCUAGACUUCAGUUCUUUUAGCUGGACCUUGGCAGUCAGUCUCAGGGGGAGGAAGUGGCCAGACAGGGGAGCAGACCUUGCAGGCUAGCUUUAGGAAUGCAAUUUAAUAUUUUUCUCAAGGAAGAAGGAAUAGGGGAGAAAGGCAAGACCUGCCAGAGCCAUUUUUGCCAUGGCCAGGCCACGAGUCCCUGCCAAGUACAUGGUGAUCCUUAAUGUCAGCACUCGGGAGGCAGAGGCAAGCAUAUCUCUGAUUUCAAAGCCAGCUUGGCCUACGAAAUGAGUUCCAGGCUAGCCAGGGCAGCAUGAUGAGGUCUGUCCAAAUAUAAAAUAAAAUUAAAGUCAAG